GAAGACCUAUAAUGUUUUCCCAAAAAAUGUGAACAACUUUAAAAUGAAAACCUAAAUGAUAAAAGUUGAUUAGAAUUUCAUGUAAAGCAAGAUGGUGGGAUCUAAAAUUAUUUAUGAACAACCAACAAUGAAAAUCGUAGGUAGUAACAAAAUGAAACCCUAGACUAAAUAUCAAAAUUAAAUGCUACUUAGUUCAUGAAAAUGCAAUUAAAUGGCAUGGUGAUCAUCAAGAACAAAUUUCCAACAGCAUGGCAUCAAGAAAUUUGAGACUUGGUUCAAGUUUCAUACCUCUUGAAGAUCACUCGAAUGGAUGACUUAAGAGAAUUUGUUCUUCCUCCACAGGUCACUUUUAUGCUUGCUUCAAGUUGUUACAUCAUCACCACACUUCAGAUAACCUUGUUGAGCCAAAGCAAAACCUUGAGAUUCAAAACCAUAUUCAAAGUUUAGAGGUUCAGUGAGAAAAGUUGCAAAGGUUCAAUGGUUAUCCAAUCUUUAUAAUGGCAAUGCAAGAGUCUCUAUUUAGAGAGAGAGAGAGAGAGAGAGAGAGAGAGAGAGAGAGAGAGUUGGUUAUUUGUUGAAAGCUUCCAAUUAGGUUAGAGGGUAAAAUGGAGUUUUGCAUAAUCUUGCAAACCAUGUUUUGGUGAGGUAGCCUUUCUACCUUGCUAAUGGCAUGUGCAAACACAUUACACUCUCCAUUAUUCUGUUUUGAAUCCAAAAUCGUGGCUAGUUGUCCUUGCCCUUGAAUUUUGGUGACUUGCUUCCAAAAAGGUGAAAAAUGAAAAAUUAAGGAAUAUGGAACAUAGGCAUGGUACAAGUCGUGGAUGAGUGCAAACAACAAAUGAUAAUGGUCCUUUCAUGAUCUGUUUGAGGUCCAAUUGCAACAAGUUUGAUUGCUUUUGGAGGAAAAUGCUUUUUGGCCAAAAUCUCAUUAUGGCUCGGGUUGGAAGACAAGUCAUGGUUUUAGCCCUCAACCAUGGCAUACCUUGAUGCACAAACACCAUAUAAUUGGUACAUAAUGGAAUGGCACAAAAAGUUGAGCUCAAAAGUGUGUAAUUUGAAAAAUGGCUCUGUAAAAUAAAUGGAUAACUUGAAAUGCAAGGUACAAGGUGGUCAAUUUGAGUUUGGACUUGAAUAAACCUCAAACAAUGAUGCACACCAGUCAUAUGAACCAUUUGUGAGGUGUUUGAGUAGGAAAAACACCCAAAAAGUCUUUAGAUAAAAACCUCACUUUUUCACUUUUGGACAAUUUUAGCAACUUUGAGGUUUGCACUACAAGUCAUUGAUAUAUGCAUUUUGGGAUUUUGGACAAUGAAUGAAAAUUGUAGAUAAUUAAAUAAGGUCAUAGCAAAAAGAACCUCCUCGUUUGGGUCAAAAAUGAGAAAGUUAUGGGGUAGUGAUGUUGGAAAAAUAAAUUAUAAUGUAUGUACCUCAUUCACCCUUUUCCAUUCAAAAUUGGCCUUGAAUAUGUGAAGAUCAAAUGUUAAAAAUGGUUGUGAUAUUGACUAUCAAAAAAGAACCACCUCAUUUGGCCAAAUAUUGAGGGAGUUAUGAUGUUUUGAAGUUGGCCCCAAAAUCACUAGGAACCAAAGAAGACCUAUAAUGUUUUCCCAAAAAAUGUGAACAACUUUAAAAUGAAAACCUAAAUGAUAAAAGUUGAUUAGAAUUUCAUGUAAAGCAAGAUGGUGGGAUCUAAAAUUAUUUAUGAACAACCAACAAUGAAAAUCGUAGGUAGUAACAAAAUGAAACCCUAGACUAAAUAUCAAAAUUAAAUGCUACUUAGUUCAUGAAAAUGC
RNAcentral lists this long non-coding RNA (1793 nucleotides) under Lathyrus oleraceus (garden pea). RNAcentral describes it as "Pisum sativum (pea) long non-coding RNA (PSAT_LNC008733)". The record is from RNAcentral. Lineage: Eukaryota; Viridiplantae; Streptophyta; Magnoliopsida; Fabales; Fabaceae.